AAUGAAGCUCAGCUUGAGUUACCUUAUUGCACAAACCAAAUUGUGAAGGAAAAAUUCAAGAGCUAACAUCAUUGUUUGCACUGAAAUGGAUAAGAUGAUUAUAACUAAAAGUAAUCAUAGUUACAGAGUGACAAGACAACAUGAAAACAGAGUUCAAAAGUUUAAUGGAAAAAGUAUAGGAAUUGUCGUACCAAAAGCAGAUUACAAAGAAGACCAACAAAACCUAUCAGAAACAAAAUGAGAAGGUGCAACAUAAAGAGCAUUAGCACACAUCUGGAAGAAGUGCAAACAACCUCAAGGAAAUUUCAGUGAGGCAUCCAAUAAAGAAAAGUUCCCAACAGAGCUCUUAAGGGUGGUUCUUCACUUAAUUUUGCAACUAGCCUCCUACAGUCCUACUUUCUUACACCAACGGCAACUGAUUCAUUGUUCACCAGUUGUGACAUUCAAUCCAACUAGGACAAUAUUUCUCAUAAAAACAACAGCAGAAAAUAUUCUAGAAAUUUUAUUAACAAAAAGCUUAUUAAAUAUAAGGGGAAAACUUAUUACUGAAAUUAUUUGCUCCUAAAACACUUCAAUUAUAAUUUGAAAAUUCACAGAACUGACAGUAGUAUAAAACUACAGUCUUAUAAGAAGUUACUAUUCAUCAAGGGACCCAUAUGGAAUCAAAGUUCCCUCUUAUGGACAUCAGU
RNAcentral lists this unclassified non-coding RNA (689 nucleotides) under Hevea brasiliensis (rubber tree). The record is from RNAcentral. Lineage: Eukaryota; Viridiplantae; Streptophyta; Magnoliopsida; Malpighiales; Euphorbiaceae.